This 427-nucleotide ribosomal RNA is filed under the name uncultured bacterium. RNAcentral describes it as "bacterial SSU rRNA". It matches the Rfam family "Bacterial small subunit ribosomal RNA", at positions 355 to 774 of the family's 1533-position model. The record is from RNAcentral.
UGGGGAAUUUUGGACAAUGGGCGCAAGCCUGAUCCAGCCAUGCCGCGUGCAGGAUGAAGGCCUUCGGGUUGUAAACUGCUUUUGUACGGAACGAAAAGGUUUGGCCUAAUAAGCUGAGCUCAUGACGGUACCGUAAGAAUAAGCACCGGCUAACUACGUGCCAGCAGCCGCGGUAAUACGUAGGGUGCGAGCGUUAAUCGGAAUUACUGGGCGUAAAGCGUGCGCAGGCGGUUAUGUAAGACAGAUGUGAAAUCCCCGGGCUCAACCUGGGAACUGCAUUUGUGACUGCAUAGCUGGAGUGCGGCAGAGGGGGAUGGAAUUCCGCGUGUAGCAGUGAAAUGCGUAGAUAUGCGGAGGAACACCGAUGGCGAAGGCAAUCCCCUGGGCCUGCACUGACGCUCAUGCACGAAAGCGUGGGGAGCAAACA